GCAGUUUAUUUUUUGAGAGAGAGUGAGAGAGAGAGGCAGCCGAGAAAGAGAGAGAGAGGAGAAAGAGCAUCGGGUAAAUUUUUGAGAGAGAGGAGAGCAUUCAAACGAAGGUAAUUGGAUUGAAUUUUUUUUUUUGCUUUGUUUUCGUGUUUGUCCAUGUUUGAAUGAGAAUCAUUUUUUUUGAACUUGAAGGAGAGCAUUCACGAUUUUUUCAACGUCCGAAGGCAUACACCAUGGCUUCUUCUUCAAAUGAAGUAAGUAUCCUAUUUCGUUGAUUUUAAUUUAAAUUCGUGAAUAAGGAUGUUAUUUUCCACAACAAGUAGAAGCAUGUUAUUUUCGUGAAUUAUUUUGGUGACAUUGUUUAAUUCGAAU
Molecule: long non-coding RNA, 372 nt
Filed under: Salvia miltiorrhiza (redroot sage)
Lineage: Eukaryota; Viridiplantae; Streptophyta; Magnoliopsida; Lamiales; Lamiaceae
Description: long non-coding RNA (SMIL_LNC014391)
Source: RNAcentral